GACGAACGCUGGCGGCGUGCUUAACACAUGCAAGUCGAACGGAAAGGCCUCUUUCGGGGGGUACUCGAGUGGCGAACGGGUGAGUAACACGUGAGUAACCUGCCCUUGACUUUGGGAUAACUUCAGGAAACUGGGGCUAAUACCGGAUAGGAGCUCCUGCUGCAUGGUGGGGGUUGGAAAGUUUCGGCGGUUGGGGAUGGACUCGCGGCUUAUCAGCUUGUUGGUGGGGUAGUGGCUUACCAAGGCUUUGACGGGUAGCCGGCCUGAGAGGGUGACCGGCCACAUUGGGACUGAGAUACGGCCCAGACUCCUACGGGAGGCAGCAGUGGGGAAUAUUGCACAAUGGGUGGAAGCCUGAUGCAGCAACGCCGUGUGCGGGAUGACGGCCUUCGGGUUGUAAACCGCUUUCGCUCAUGACGAAGCUUUGUGUGACGGUAGUGGGUAAAGAAGCACCGGCUAACUUCGUG
RNAcentral lists this ribosomal RNA (467 nucleotides) under uncultured bacterium. RNAcentral describes it as "partial 16S ribosomal RNA". It matches the Rfam family "Bacterial small subunit ribosomal RNA", at positions 28 to 507 of the family's 1533-position model. The record is from RNAcentral.